GACCCGCACAAGCGGUGGAGCAUGUGGUUUAAUUCGAAGCAACGCGAAGAACCUUACCAAAUCUUGACAUCCUUUGACAACUCUAGAGAUAGAGCUUUCCCCUUCGGGGGACAAAGUGACAGGUGGUGCAUGGUUGUCGUCAGCUCGUGUCGUGAGAUGUUGGGUUAAGUCCCGCAACGAGCGCAACCCUUAAGCUUAGUUGCCAUCAUUAAGUUGGGCACUCUAAGUUGACUGCCGGUGACAAACCGGAGGAAGGUGGGGAUGACGUCAAAUCAUCAUGCCCCUUAUGAUUUGGGCUACACACGUGCUACAAUGGACAAUACAAAGGGCAGCGAAACCGUGAGGUCAAGCAAAUCCCAUAAAGUUGUUCUCAGUUCGGAUUGUAGUCUGCAACUCGACUACAUGAAGCUGGAAUCGCUAGUAAUCGUAGAUCAGCAUGCUACGGUGAAUACGUUCCCGGGUCUUGUACACACCGCCCGUCACACCACGAGAGUUUGUAACACCCGAAGCCGGUGGAGUAACCUUUUAGGAGCUAGCCGUCGAAGGUGGGACAAAUGAUUGGGGUGAAGUCGUAACAAGGUAGCCGUAUCGGAAGGUGCGGCUGGAUCACCUCCUUUCUAAGGA
RNAcentral lists this ribosomal RNA (624 nucleotides) under Staphylococcus aureus subsp. aureus MRSA_S4. RNAcentral describes it as "bacterial SSU rRNA". It matches the Rfam family "Bacterial small subunit ribosomal RNA", at positions 918 to 1533 of the family's 1533-position model. The record is from RNAcentral. Lineage: Bacteria; Bacillati; Bacillota; Bacilli; Caryophanales; Staphylococcaceae.